RNAcentral lists this ribosomal RNA (506 nucleotides) under uncultured bacterium. Its description in RNAcentral is "partial 16S ribosomal RNA". It matches the Rfam family "Bacterial small subunit ribosomal RNA", at positions 29 to 523 of the family's 1533-position model. The record is from RNAcentral.
AUUGAACGCUGGCGGCAGGCCUAACACAUGCAAGUCGGACGGUAGCACAGAGGAGCUUGCUCCUCGGGUGACGAGUGGCGGACGGGUGAGUAAUGUCUGGGAAACUGCCCGAUGGAGGGGGAUAACUACUGGAAACGGUAGCUAAUACCGCAUAACGUCGCAAGACCAAAGUGGGGGACCUUCGGGCCUCACACCAUCGGAUGUGCCCAGAUGGGAUUAGCUGGUAGGCGGGGUAACGGCCCACCUAGGCGACGAUCCCUAGCUGGUCUGAGAGGAUGGCCAGCCACACUGGAACUGAGACACGGUCCAGACUCCUACGGGAGGCAGCAGUGGGGAAUAUCGCACAAUGGGCGCAAGCCUGAUGCAGCCAUGCCGCGUGUAUGAAGAAGGCCUUCGGGUUGUAAAGUACUUUCAGCGGGGAGGAAGGUGCUGAGGUUAAUAAGCUCAGCAAUUGACGUUGCCCGCAGAAGAAGCACCGGCUAACUCCGUGCCAGCCGCCGCAGUAA